UGGGGAAUUUUGGACAAUGGGCGCAAGCCUGAUCCAGCCAUGCCGCGUGCAGGAUGAAGGCCCUCGGGUUGUAAACUGCUUUUGUACGGAACGAAAAGCCUCUUUCUAAUAAAGAGGGGUGAUGACGGUACCGUAAGAAUAAGCACCGGCUACCUACCUG
RNAcentral lists this ribosomal RNA (160 nucleotides) under uncultured Comamonadaceae bacterium. Its description in RNAcentral is "partial 16S rRNA". It matches the Rfam family "Bacterial small subunit ribosomal RNA", at positions 355 to 507 of the family's 1533-position model. Lineage: Bacteria; Pseudomonadati; Pseudomonadota; Betaproteobacteria; Burkholderiales; Comamonadaceae. The record is from RNAcentral.